RNAcentral lists this small RNA (3102 nucleotides) under Pongo abelii (Sumatran orangutan). Its description in RNAcentral is "sense intronic". Lineage: Eukaryota; Metazoa; Chordata; Mammalia; Primates; Hominidae. The record is from RNAcentral.
CAUUCUGAUGUUCUUCUUUUCCUUCUGGUGUUCCAAUCUAUCUUCUGUAAUCAUUUCCUCUCUGUGUAGAGAACUUUCUUCAGUCAUUCUUUCAUAGUUAAUCUGCUGGCCACAAACUCUCUAAGUUUUUCUUCGUCUGGGAAUGGCCUUUGUCCCCGCGUCACUCCGAGGGCAUCUCACGGGAUGUGGAUUUCCAGGUGGUGACUCUCCUCAUCCAGUGCCUGGGAAGCGCGUGUCCCUGCACCCAGCUUCUGUGUUCCAGCUGUGAAACCUGCGCGAUUUAGACUUGUGCUUCUCUCGAAGGAAGGAGGGGUUUCUCUCUGGCAGCUUUCAAGGUGUUUUCUCUGUCUUUAGUUUUCAGAAAUUGUAUUACCGUGCGUCCUGGAGCAGACUUCUCUGGGUUUGUUCUGUUUCGAUUCACUCGGUUUCUCGCGUCUGUGGGUUUAUGUCUCUUGGCUAACAGGAAGUUUUCAGCCAUUAUUUCCUCACAUCCUUUUUCGGUCCACUUGUUCUCUGCUUCUGCGAUUGCAGAAACUUAGAAAUCUGCUCUUUCGUUAGGGUCCUGCGGGUCUCUGAGGCCUUGACCGUCCUCGAUCCGUUUCUGUGUGUUCAGGCGGAUGAAUUCUGUCUGUCCUCGGGGUCACCGGUUCUGCCCUGUCUCGUCUCCACUCUGCCACUUAGCCCAUCCCCAGAGAUUUUUAUUAUGACUGUAUUUUUUUAGUUGUAUAAUUUCCACUUCUUUUAUGUAGCCUUUAUUUCUUUGCUGAGAUUUUCUAUUUUUUAUUUGUUUACAGAGAGUGUGGCCUUUUGAAGCGUUUUAAUCAUGGCUGCUUUAGCACCCUCAUCAGAUAACUCCAGUAUCCAUUCGUCUCGAUGUGAAGUCUGGCGCUUGUCUUUUCUCCUUCAAGUUGUGAUUUUCCCAAUUCUUAAUAUGAUGCGCGACUUUUUGUUGUAUCCUGGGUGGUUCGUGUGUUUCUUAGGAGGCUUUAAACCGGUGGCUCCCCUGGGGAGGGUGGUGUGAGGCCCCCAGCCCCGCCCCGCCCCAACGGCUGACAAGCGCUUCCUCAUGGCAGGUAGUGGGGUGGAAGAAUUUUUUAGUAUUUGCCUUUUGCCAGAUCUUCUGUUACGUCUUCCCUGCUGUCAGUAGCUCAGCCAGGCAGGCAGGAAAGUGGAAGGAAUGAACGGCUGUUUACCUGGGUUUUCCUGAGGUUCAGCCCAGGCUAGAGCCCCAGCUUGGCCAUGCUCUGGCCGUGCAAGCCUGGCAGCUUUCUGUGAAUUGGGCAGGAUGUGGGAACAGUGCCUACCUGGUGGGCCGUGGGAAGACUGAAAGAGAAAACCAGGCAGGGCACUUAGUGCAGCCGCUGGUGGAAGCAGUGGUUAGAGUUCAUUCGGUAAGAGGGUCCUUAUGGCCAUUUUCCUUUGAUCCAGAUGUCUUUAAAUAUCAGAAAAAUAACGCUUUUAGUCCCAACCCCCAAAUCGGAAUCAGUUCUUAUUCCUUCUGGCUACAAUGUUGAACAUAAGUUGAACAACAUGAUUUGGACAACAGAAGGAAGGGUUGUCAUAUUAGCGGGAGAUGACUUCUAGUUAAGAGGUCUGAGCGUUUUCCACGCACAACCAGUUAUUCUCAAUGGAGGGCAGACUCUCCAUACGAAACAAGCAGAGCAAACACCACGUUGAUCUCACUGCCACGUUCUUUCCAGUUACACGCAGGUCUAACAUAUUGGCAUAAGACAUUGUCUUAAUCAGAACACUUUUAAAGCUUUUUUUUUUCCUUUUUCAAUUCAAAAAAUUAAUGCAGUACAGGUAUUGAUCCCACUGAAAUUGUUCUAAUUCAGUCAUGACACUUCAUGUUUACAAAGAGUUAAUGACUUGGAAAAAUACUCUGUUAUGCUGUUAAACUUAAGAAACAGAAUUAGGCCGGGCGCGGUGGCUCACUCCUGUAAUCCCAGCACUUUGGGAGGCCAAGGGGGGCGGAUCACGAAGUCAGGAGAUCGAGAUCGUCCUGGCUAACACAGUGCAACCCCAUCUCUACUAAAAAUACAAAAAAUUAGCCAGGCGUGGUGGCACAUGCCUGUAAUCCCAGCUACUCAGGAGGCUGAGGCAGGAGAAUCACUUGAACCCAGAAGGCAGAGGUUGCAGUGAGCUGAGAUCACGACACUGCACUCCAGCUUGGGCGACAGAGCAAGACUCUAUCUCAAAAAAAAAAAAGAAAAAGAAAAAGAAUCAGAAUUGUAGACCACGUUCCUCCUGACGCUAACACAGAGCUCCCAUCUGACCCAGCUGUUCACUCCUCAGUAUUUAGCCACAAGAAACAGAAACACAUCCACAUUCAGACUGAUACACGGUGGUGAUGGGGGUACAACAGUGUAUAUCCACGUGAUACCACAGAGUCACACACUCAGAAAUGGUUAACAUGGUACAUUUUAUGGUAUGAGAAUUUCACCACAAUGAAAGACUUGUAUAUGAAUGUUCAAGCUGCAUUAUUUGUAUAGUUAAAAAGUAUUAAGAACUCAAAUGUCAAUUAGAUAACAUAUAGAUAUACAAAACAUACUAUAUCCAAGCAAAGGAAUAUUAUUCAGCCAUAAUAUAGAAUGAACAUUGAUUCAUCCUAUAGCACAGAUGAAGCACGAUGCUUCUGAAAGAACCGGACAAAAAGGCCACACGCUGUGUGAUUCAUUCAUACCAACAUCCAGACUAGGCCAGUCUGUACAGACAGGAUGAACUACUGGUUGGGUUUCUUUUUGGGGUGAUGAAAGUAUUCUAACAUGAAUUGUGGUAAUAGUUGUGUAAUUUUGUGAAUAUGCUGGAAACCAUUGAAUUGUAUACUUUAAAUGGGUAAGUUGUAUGGUAAGUGAAUUAUAUAUCAUAGCUGUUAAAAAUAUAUACGAUAUUAUUUUAAUUAGACAUAGAAGAACAUGAAUAGAGACUAGAAAUAUAUAAAACAAGGUGUUAAUGAUUUUCUACUAGUAGACUAGUAGAUUUGUAGUAAGUUUUUUCUACUAUAUAUACUUUUCUGUAAUUUAGGAAAACCUCCCUUUCAAUUUUAAUAACCAGGGAAAAUUUAUAUUUAAAAUAUCAAAGAAAUAAAAUUAGUUGCAACAU